Engraulis encrasicolus (European anchovy) is the source of this 3485-nucleotide long non-coding RNA. RefSeq lists it as uncharacterized. The record is from RefSeq and is a predicted model, not a curated record. The transcript has 2 exons. NCBI's taxonomy places the organism in Eukaryota, Metazoa, Chordata, Actinopteri, Clupeiformes, Engraulidae.
CACGCUAGCCCCCCCUCCGCCCCCCUCCCCCCCGAGGCGGCCGCUGCCACCAAGGGCCCAGAGGAUGGCACGAAGGUGAGCCAGCCCCUCUCUGGAUAGAAUAAGCCCCUGAGAGAUGGACGGCCGGUCGUGGUGGAGGGCAAGUCGUCUCCAUCAGCAGUGCUGUCCUCCAAGAUGGCCGAGCCCAAACCCACCCGCACCGGAGCCAUCAAGCCGCAGGCUGCCAAGCUAGAGGAGGGGAAGGCCUAAAACACCUCAGAGAAGAGGGGAACCCCCCCCCAUAACCCCUAACCCUGCCACACACUUACACAGCCAGACGGGCACCCACCAACUACACCCAUGGGGGUUAUCUACCAGGGUCAUCUGCUACAACACAGAAGACCCCCUCCCAACACACACACACACACACACACUUACCCACUCAGCGAACCCCCACCUACAUCCUUGGGGCUACCAUCCCAAGGGUGAUCGACCUGCCUCUUCCCCACCCAUCACCUCAGCUGAGCCGGUUCCCUCCCUUCUGUGUCUGAUGGUCCCCUUAUCCCCCAGCCCUCCUCCUCUUCCUCCUCCUCCUCCAUCACCCUCUUCUGGGUCAUCCUGCAUCGCCUGUCAGUCAACAGGCUGCCUCCAAUGGACUAACAGACCAACUCCGGGUAAAGAAGAAGAGUGGAGAAUGAAAAAAAAAACAGACAAAAAAAGUAUGGAAUCGGAUACUAUUGCUGAACACCACAUAUAUAGAGAUAUAAAAAAAUAUAUAUACAUAAAUGUAUACAUAUUAUAUAAAUAUAUAUAAAUGCAUAGACACGAUAGUUUGGGACAUUUCUAAGCAGACUCCUCAAGAAUCCAUCUUUUAUUUAUUAACAUUUAACAAAAAAAUACCAUUUCAAGAGAAGAAUAAUGUUGAGCAAGACAAAAGGAGAAAUGCAGAGGAAAAAAAAGGAAAAACAAAUCACGUUCGUUUUCUACAUUGCUCUCCAUCAAAGCGUGAAGGAGCAGAGGGAGGGGGGUAGAGCGAGAGAGAGACACGUCUGUCUGUCUGCUGCCCCCUCUCCACAUCUGCGUUCAUCCUCAUCUUCUCCAGGCCUUUGCCAAAACGAGAGCGCCCGCCCGCCCGUCGCAGCUCUCUCGGGGUGUGGAGACUGCCACUGGUGCCAGAGAAUUUGCUGGGGAAAAAAACGCCGCACGCCAUGCCACAACACGCCACCGCGUCACUAACAUCCACCACCACCACAGUCAUCGUCACCUCUGGUGGCCGUGGCAACGGGACUCCUACGUGGCACCGUGUCUGUCAUGAUGAAUUUUUUUUUUUUCCCUCCUCCUUUUGACAUUUUUACUGGUUACAGUGAAUGGAGUUUUAACCCUCUUUCUCUAUCUCUUUCUUUUUUCUUUACUUUUUAAAUAAUCAAAACACCUACUUGCUCUAUUAAAGGACACCUUUUAUUCAAUAAAAAAAAUCCUUCGAAACCAAAUUUGAGGACAUUAUUCUGUGUAUUACACGUGGGAGCGCAUGACCCGGGGCAGACUAAUCGACUACUCGAGCACGCCCCGCCAUCACUUUUCUGCGUUUCCGUAGAGACAAGACUGCUCGGAGCAUAAAACGAGAACAGGAAAAUGUGUUUCUUUUUUUUUUUUUUAAACAAACAAACAGAAAAUGCUGUUCUUUCUCUUGCGUGUUGUGUAAAACAGAAGCCGAGUUUGCUGUUUAAAAAAAAAGAAAAAGGAAAAAAAAGCAGAUGUGUUGCCUCUUGAAGCUUCUCUGGCGAUGCGGCGUGUGUGUGCAUUUUGAUGAAAUGGCAAAUGUCUUGGAAUGGGCCAGUAAAGCGUGUAACCUUUUAAUUAUUUUUGGGUUUUUUGUUUUUUUUGGAAGGCCUUGUGUUAUUUGAAGUCUGUGGACAAUGUGUUGCCUUGGUAUGUGUUGUCGGGACAAGCCAAGCUUGUGGGAUGUGGAUGGGGGGGUGAUGGGGUGGGAUGUUGGGCUCACAUCUGCCACAGGGUGAGAUGAUGAGGAGAGAGGAGGAUGAGGAGAGAGAGGAAGGUGUUUCCAGAUGGACUGAUCCCCAGCUGAUGAUUGCUCAAUAUUGCUACAUUGUUUUUUGGUCGUAUCGGUUUCCACACAUCUGAACUCCCAAGUAUCUGCACUCUUCUGUCCCAUAAAGAAAAGAAAAACACAAACUCACAAACCACCCAGGUUUCUUUCGAUGUUGCUGUUGGCAACAUCCCUUUUUUGUUUCUUUUUUUUACUCCACACUGGGCUGUAGUUUUUGUUUUGUGUUGUUAUUCAACUCAGCUGUUGUUAGGGUAUGGUUUAACUAGGUGUGUGUUGCGUUGCUUAGCUCCCGGUGAACACUCCAGAACAAAGUACCAAGGGGUGCUGCAAGCAAUAACCACGACCUACCUGUUAACACAAUCAGGGUCCAAAUGCAGAACGACACCUCCCAGACACACAAUAGAGGAGACCCAAACCUUCCUCUCUUCAACUCUCACUCUGCCACACACUUUCUUCCAUCCUCACUCCCUCGUUCUCUCACUCACACACACACACACACACACACACACACACGUAUGUUACCCGCAGUCUACCACACACCAGCCGUUGCAGAGGCUUGUUGCAUGUUACGAGGGCCAGUGGUAUUGGCCAUGUCUCUGUGAAGACUUCUGUAGAGGUGCGUCUGUUAUUUCUGGUCAUUUAGGGCGGGUUAGUAAGGUUGGGCAUACAGUACAUUACAUGCGUUUCUACAGUGCUGCUCCGGUCUUCUGUUCCAUACACUACAAGCAUCUUUUUUCUUUUUUCUUUUCUUUCUACCGUACGUUCCUGGUCUUAUGAUAUUCUCCACCAGGAAUUAACUUGACCAUACACACACGAGCUUGGUUCCGUUCUGUAUCACUCAAGUAUGAAAUGAAUAGAAGAUGAUGGAAAAACAAACAAAAAAUGAAUAAUGACAUGGGUGUUUGUUCAAAAUGUUACCUUUUUGUUCCAGCAGGGUGGACUGCUUGUGUAUCAUUUGUCGAGGUUUUUUUUUUUUUUUUUUGCUGGAUAUGAGUCACGCCUUCUGUAAUUGGUUGGUUUCAGUGGAAUGAAGGAUCUUGAGGCCCCUACACCUGGCCAGGUGUGGGUGUAACACACAUACACACACAAUGCCUCAGCACUUGGACCUGUGUCCAUAGGGGCUCGCUCCGUCAUCUAUGUACUGACACACAUACACACACACACUUCUGCCCUUUCUGCUUGUCUGUGUAGAGACUUGUAUUUAAAGGGCCAGCUAUGAAUAUUUUAUUGUUGAUGCUUUUUUUGUUUUUCUUUUGUUCUUUUACUUAUUUAAUUUUUGUUUAAAAGGACCAGUGUUUUCCUCUAAAGCUGGUCCUUACAAGCCUAUUUAUCCCUUAUUGUUGUUUAUCCUUUCAAAUAUGUGACCAUAUUUGCCCUUUUUCUUGUUAAAGAUCUCAUUGAGAGAAAAAAAUAAAGCAGGUUUUGCUUUCUAAGAGAA